This 314-nucleotide long non-coding RNA is filed under the name Triticum aestivum (bread wheat). RNAcentral describes it as "long non-coding RNA (TAES_LNC022011)". The record is from RNAcentral. Lineage: Eukaryota; Viridiplantae; Streptophyta; Magnoliopsida; Poales; Poaceae.
GGGAUUUUCGUCGAUUCACUAGAAAGCGGGUCAAAUUUUAACUACAGCUGCCUCAUAGUUUGUUCAAAUGAUCUAAUAUUAUGCACAAGGGUGCAUCUUGGAAUGGUAAACAAUGUUGUCUAAGGAAGUUUUCAUUUUUUUGCAUGGAAAAUUCAUUUUCCAUUUUCCGAGUGCCCGAAACGAGGCUUUUUUGGGAAGGACCUACCAUAUAUUUGUUGCAAAAUUGGACCAAAUCAAUUUUAGAAACGAGGCUUUUUUGGGAAGGACCUACCAUAUAUUUGUUGCAAAAUUGGACCAAAUCAAUUUUAUAAAAU